This is a long non-coding RNA of Pleuronectes platessa (European plaice), 1238 nucleotides long. RefSeq lists it as uncharacterized. The transcript has 2 exons. The record is from RefSeq and is a predicted model, not a curated record. NCBI's taxonomy places the organism in Eukaryota, Metazoa, Chordata, Actinopteri, Pleuronectiformes, Pleuronectidae.
UUUUACUGAAAGGGUAUUUUUCUUUAUUUAUGUACAGUGCAAUAAUGUCAUUGCUACAAGGAUUUUGUUGGACAAUAUGAAGGUUUUAUUUAUGUCUCCUGUAAGCAUAUGCCAACUGGAACUGUCAUAUAUUGCUGUGUUUACAUGCUCAUGGCAUGGGUUUUUCCUUAAAUGCAAAUUUAAUCUAUAUAUAGAAAUUCAGGAAGUAUGAAAUUAUCAUGAUUUUGAACUCUGCAAAAGAGCUGGCAUCCUGAAGGUUGUUCUUCCUCCUCUACAGUUGACAAGACACUGUCUGAUAUCAGAUUAAUAGUUUUAUUUUGGGUUAAAAAAAAUUAUUGAGUUUAAAAAAACAUUGGGACACCCUGUCAUAGUGGUCAAUGCUGAACUACAUUGUACUCAAUUCAACCCCUACCCCCCACCCCCCCCCCCUCUCUCUCUCUCUCUCUCUCUCCUCAUUCCCUCUCAUUUAAUUUCUCCGAUGGCUAUCCUAUAAAGGCGCUCAAGAAUACUAUGGAGAAACAUAUUCAUAUAUUCAAUAAUAAUUAGCGAUGGAUGCCAUUCAAAUAAGAACUAUAUGUCUGCCAGGAGAGAAGAAAUCAUUUGGUAGAAAGACUCUUAUAUGAGCAGGUGUGAAGAGGUCAACGGAAAAGAUUAAUAUUCACGAAUAGCUUAAUUUUGUUUCAUUUUAAUGUCUUCUAUGUCACAUUUCUAUUAUGUGCAAAAGCCGCCACAUACAUGAACGUAAACAUAGUUCAUGAUAAACCAUGAUGCCUUUAAACUUUUAUCAUACACACUUUUCCUUCAUUAAAAACACUUUUGACAGAUUAGAACAAACUCAUUUAAGGAUUAAAAGUUAUUACAACCCAAUUCGUAUAGGUUUUCCAGUACUUAUCUGUGGAUAUUUACUUGUCGCCUGUUUAUUGUUUCUAUGUUUAACAAAGUGUUAGCUUUUAGCCUACUCUUGGUUUUCCUUACACAUUUAGGGUGUGGUAAGUAAACUUUGCAGUAUGUCAGCAAAAUGUAAGCUGUAUGUAGAACCUGAACCGCUUUUAGUUGUGCGUCUCAGUGAAGUAAUAGCACUUUGGUUAUUUUACAGAAAUGCUCAUAGGAUUGGACAGGAGCUUGAAGGCUAACAGCAAGGAACUGUGCACUCUGGAGACACAGAUCUCCCCAAACUCCAUACUCCAUAUUGGUGGUAAAGAAUUGACCAGGAAAAAUAAAGAAAUCUGUUAACAGGC